GGAGAUAUGACUGAGAGGUUUAUAGUAUUCCCCUGCUAAGGGAAAAUACAACAACAUUGUAUCAUAGGUUCAAAUCCUAUUAUCUCCU
RNAcentral lists this transfer RNA (88 nucleotides) under Candidatus Vidania fulgoroideorum. RNAcentral describes it as "Candidatus Vidania fulgoroideae tRNA-Ser". It matches the Rfam family "tRNA". From Rfam's summary of the family: Transfer RNA (tRNA) molecules are approximately 80 nucleotides in length. Their secondary structure includes four short double-helical elements and three loops (D, anti-codon, and T loops). Further hydrogen bonds mediate the characteristic L-shaped molecular structure. tRNAs have two regions of fundamental functional importance: the anti-codon, which is responsible for specific mRNA codon recognition, and the 3' end, to which the tRNAs corresponding amino acid is attached (by aminoacyl-tRNA synthetases). tRNAs cope with the degeneracy of the genetic code in two manners: having more than one tRNA (with a specific anti-codon) for a particular amino acid; and 'wobble' base-pairing, i.e. permitting non-standard base-pairing at the 3rd anti-codon position. Lineage: Bacteria; Pseudomonadati; Pseudomonadota; Betaproteobacteria. The record is from RNAcentral.